GGGGGGUUAGCUCAGCUGAUAGAGCAUCUGAUUUGCAUUCAGAGGGUCAGGGGUUUGAGUCCCCUACUCUCCACCA
Molecule: transfer RNA, 76 nt
Filed under: Mycoplasmataceae bacterium
Lineage: Bacteria; Bacillati; Mycoplasmatota; Mollicutes; Mycoplasmatales; Mycoplasmataceae
Description: tRNA-Ala
Rfam family: tRNA
About the family: Transfer RNA (tRNA) molecules are approximately 80 nucleotides in length. Their secondary structure includes four short double-helical elements and three loops (D, anti-codon, and T loops).
Source: RNAcentral